GACGAACGCUGGCGGCGUGCUUAACACAUGCAAGUCGAACGGUGAUGCUCCAGCUUGCUGGAGUGGAUCAGUGGCGAACGGGUGAGUAACACGUGAGCAACCUGCCCCAGACUCUGGAAUAAGCGCUGGAAACGGCGUCUAAUACUGGAUACGAAACUGGCCCGCAUGGGCAUGGUUUGGAAAGUUUUUCGGUUUGGGAUGGGCUCGCGGCCUAUCAGCUUGUUGGUGAGGUAAUGGCUCACCAAGGCAGCGACGGGUAGCCGGCCUGAGAGGGCGAACGGCCACACUGGGACUGAGACACGGCCCAGACUCCUACGGGAGGCAGCAGUGGGGAAUAUUGCACAAUGGGCGAAAGCCUGAUGCAGCGACGCCGCGUGAGGGAUGACGGCCUUCGGGUUGUAAACCUCUUUCAGCAGGGAAGAAGCGAAAGUGACGGUACCUGCAGAAGAAGCACCGGCUAACUACGUG
This 468-nucleotide ribosomal RNA is filed under the name uncultured bacterium. Its description in RNAcentral is "partial 16S ribosomal RNA". It matches the Rfam family "Bacterial small subunit ribosomal RNA", at positions 28 to 507 of the family's 1533-position model. The record is from RNAcentral.